Molecule: ribosomal RNA, 295 nt
Filed under: uncultured bacterium
Lineage: Bacteria
Description: partial 16S ribosomal RNA
Rfam family: Bacterial small subunit ribosomal RNA
Source: RNAcentral
GACGAACGCUGGCGGCGUGCUUAACACAUGCAAGUGGAGCGACGAACCGGGGGCUUGCCCCGGGGCAGAGCCGCGAACGGGUGAGUAACACGUGGGUAACCCACCCGACUGACCGGGACAACCCGACGGAAACUCGGGCGUAAUACCGGAUGUGCUCCUUGACCUCGAGGUCAAGGCGUAAAGAUAGCUUCGGCCUUCGCAUCGGGACGGGCCCGCGGCCCAUUAGCUUGUUGGUGGGGUAACGGCCUACCAAGGCGACGAUGGGUAGCUGGUCUGAGAGGACGAUCAGCCACAC